RNAcentral lists this ribosomal RNA (601 nucleotides) under Lelenchus leptosoma. Its description in RNAcentral is "eukaryotic LSU rRNA". It matches the Rfam family "Eukaryotic large subunit ribosomal RNA", at positions 407 to 936 of the family's 3401-position model. The record is from RNAcentral. Lineage: Eukaryota; Metazoa; Nematoda; Chromadorea; Rhabditida; Ecphyadophoridae.
GAUGAGGUGGAAACGGAUAGAGCCGACGUUCGGACUCGUAUUUAGCGCGUAUCUUACGCAGCGAUGCGGGUUGAGAGCGCUGAGAACUGCUGGAGGACGGAGAUUUUUCAUGUUUGCUUGCGCCUAGUCGCUCAACACUGAUACUAUGUGCUCUUUCUUCUGGCAGGUUUACCGGGGAUCAGGUACUCCUUCGAAAGGAUGUCGUUGUGUGGGCACUAACGCUUGCGAUAUUAUCCUCACAAUGACUUCUGGAACGUUUGGUGACCUGAAACCUUCUCGGUGUAAAGUCGGUCACCUAUCCGACCCGUCUUGAAACACGGACCAAGGAGUUUAGCGUAUGCGCGAGUCAUUGGAAUUUGAAAUCCACAGGCGUAAUGAAAGUGAAGAUUGUGCGAUCUUGUGCACUACGGUGUGCAGGAGCAGCACAGCCCUGCGGCGACCAUUCAUGGUGCCGCUGAGGCAGAGCGUAUGCGAUGAGACCCGAAAGAUGGUGAACUAUUCCCGAGCAGGACGAAGCCGGGGGAAACUCCGGUGGAAGUCCGAAGCGGUUCUGACGUGCAAAUCGAUCGUCUGACUUGGGUAUAGGGGCGAAAGACUAAUC